AUGUGGUUUGUGAGUAGAACCAGCCUUGGAAGGCAGCCCCAGCCUUGCCUGAGUUCCCGGAAUUUCCUCACACCAAACCCAGAAGGCCUUUGCUUUUUGCAUUCAGCCACAGGAACAGCUGCAUCUGAUCCAAACCAGCCUCGGGAGACUGGGACCAGCCAGGUAGGAAGCUGCCAGCCUGGUGCUGGGCCCUGGAGCUCAGGGCAAUGCUGAGCCAGCAGAAGCUGGCCCCGGGGUUGUGGAAUGGUGUUGAUCCAGCCUAUGAAGUGGCUUCUGGAGUAGCGCCGGGAGCUUAAGAGAAUCCUCUGACUAACCUGCCCAGGCUCCAGGGUGGUUGUUUCCUGGGUAAUUCUGGGUCCUUAUUCAUCGUAGCUUUGAGUGUGUGCUUUAGAUUUGACCACCUCCUCUCCUACCCUUUCACUUCCAGUAAUGAUCAUAUGAUGUCAUCACUAAUGAUGAUAAUUGUUCUGUUUUACUUGCAGAAACACAAGUGCACUAUGGGGUGAACAAUAGUUAACAAUAGUUAUCAUUUUAGUGAUGAGGCAAGGGAGUCACACAGAAGUUAGACAACCUGACAUCUGGGAAAGGGUGUCAGGGCAGGGAAACUUGCCUUGAACCUGCACCCCAGAACAGGCCACCCCACUCUGGGCAUCAGAAGGUAGCUGGGCUGGAAGGGAAAUGCUAGAUGCAGGGGAGGGAAGAGAGAGAGAGGGAGAUACAGAAUCUGAAGCAGGCUCCAGGCUCUGAGCUGUCAGCACAGAGCCUGAUGUGGGGCUCAAACUCGGGAACCAUGAGAUCAUGAUCUGAGCGGAAGUCAGAGACUUAACUGGCUAAGUCAUCCAGAUGCCCUUAGAAGUUGCGUUUCACAUAAGUACCUUAGGCAAUUGUUUACAGGAGCUUGGAGGUUUGUAUGAAAUAACAUUUCUGCAUAUUUCCCUGGGAGGUCUAUCAGUAUGCCUUUAUUGUUUUCUUUUACAAGAGCUCCUGGAACACACAGACACCACAUCCAGAGUCAGUGUCAGAGGGUAAAUUGGUCUGGGGAGCCAUGAUUUAUCACUGUAGUCCUAAUACCCGCCCCCUUAAAUGCUCAAGAUCAGAUGCUUAAAUUUUGUAUAGCCCAUGAACUUCUCUUCCACACAUAAACCCACACCCCAAGUUCCCACUGGAGUUAAGACUCUACCCCCUUUUCCUAGCUGUGGAAACAACCCUGGGUGGAGCAAGAAUCAACUUCCCAACUUAGGAAGAUCAUUGGCUUCAUUUGAUAACAAUCUAAAGACCAUAGAAAAGAUGCUUUAUAGUGGAAUUAGGUAAGACUGGCAAAAACUGGCUUUCCUAUCCUAAAUCAUUUUGGAGGGUGUGUCUAUUGAGUUUUGGAGGUUUUUUUUUUUUUUUUAAGGAAAGAAAAGAUGUAUUGUUUUAGCUGCCAAAGUCUUUGAAGAUAAACCACAAAAAAUAAAAGUGCAAUGUCUGAUAGGCUUUAAAAAUUA
Molecule: long non-coding RNA, 1487 nt
Filed under: Felis catus (domestic cat)
Lineage: Eukaryota; Metazoa; Chordata; Mammalia; Carnivora; Felidae
Description: lncRNA (ENSFCAG00000048222.1)
Source: RNAcentral